AAACCUCACCCAGCCUGGACACAGACAGGAUUGACAGAUUGAGAGCUCUUUCACAGUUCCAUGGGUGGUGGUACCUGGCCAUUCUUGGUGAAGUAAUUUGUCUGGUUAAUUCCAAUAAAAAACAAGACUCUGGCAUUCUAACUAGUUAUAAGACCUCCCAAUGGUUGAUGUCCAACUUUUUCAAGGGACAAGUGGCAUUCAACAACAUGAGAUAGAGCAGCAACAAGUCUGUGAUGCCCUUUACUGUG
Molecule: non-coding RNA, 248 nt
Filed under: Phaethon lepturus (White-tailed tropicbird)
Lineage: Eukaryota; Metazoa; Chordata; Aves; Phaethontiformes; Phaethontidae
Description: Eukaryotic small subunit ribosomal RNA
Rfam family: Eukaryotic small subunit ribosomal RNA
Source: Rfam by way of RNAcentral